This 867-nucleotide long non-coding RNA is filed under the name Mus musculus (house mouse). Its description in RNAcentral is "predicted gene, 41138". The record is from RNAcentral. Lineage: Eukaryota; Metazoa; Chordata; Mammalia; Rodentia; Muridae.
ACCAUUGUUGUGGUGACACCAAAGGCCUGUGGUGUAUUCCUUCAGAACCAAUUGGUUUCACAGGCAAGCAUGUUGUCCAUGCAGCUCACGCUAUUUUGGAGGGAAAAUACAAUACACACAGAGACCAGACUUUGGAGGAAUGAGGCCGGCCUUCUGUCAUCUUGGGAAAUGAUUUUCCAGAAGGUUAUAUGAGGAUGUGAUGGCAAGAAUAGAGUGGGCUAUUCACCCUGCUCAUGAAUCAAGGUCUCUGACACUUUGGCAUUGAACACACAAGAUGUGGACUGAUUCACAGUCUGAGGGAUUCUCUGUGACUCUAGAUUUUCCUCUUCCUGAGACUUCUGUGUGGGACAAAGCAUGUUGUCUCCAUUCCCUGCCCUAUUAUCUCUACGAGUUUACUAGUGUUGGUCAACCUACAUGGUCUGUUGGAAAGGCAUCACCCCAAGCCUCCACCACCAAUAAGCAGGAUCAGAGAAUGAAGAGGAUGGAGAAGCUCAAAAGGGAUCUCCAGAAGAUCAAAAAUGGGAGAGACAACUCCAGGGAAUCCUAGUCAAUUACACUAACAAGGAUUUGAACAACAGAUGUGCCAUCACAGGUCUAUAAGGAUGACAAACAGAACUCUCCAGUGGAAUGGGAACACUCUGGCCGUACAGUCUUAUUCUGACAAAGGCUCGAGAAUUCAAGAUUACGAACCAUAAAACUAGAGCAAAUCUGUGUGUAGGACACUAUUGGCUCAUCAAGCCUGGGAUGCACCAGGGCAUACAGUAGGCACAUAUUUGUUGUAAGGAAUCCCUACAGGAAUGAGAAGACAUGAUGAAGACGCCAAGAUCAUCCCUCUAAAAAUAAGAACUGAGAAUGUUAACUCGUCAA